UCCAUACUUGCUGGGAGAUUGAGUAAUUGGUGUCUGGAUGUGCGUGUGCUGCUUCCCAAAAUACCUCUUUAAAAAGACGUGAGAGGGAUGCGGAGCCAGUAGGGAUGGCAAAGCUCGCUAUCACGUGGAUCACCCAGACUCCCUCAUUUUACUGGUUCUUCACAGCACCCAGGAAGAUUUUAGAUGGACCUCAAAUACAAAGGCUGUGAGGAGCCCUAUUCGUUGUGUUGACACCACUGAGAGAUUAUUUUUUUCCCAGAGAAGAAAAAGGAGACACACCUGACUUUUAACCUCUUUGAUCCCUUAAAAAGUUAUUUUCCCAGCUGGGUGCAGUAGCUCCUGCCUGUAAUCCCAGCACUUUGGGAGGCCGAGGGUAAAGCAUUGGCUUCCGUAUCUUUCAAAUUGUCCCGAGUGAUUCUGAUCCACAGUGAAAACUGAAAACUGUUCUAAUAUUCACCUUGCCGGAAAAGUAAGACUAUGUGAAGUGAACCCUCCUUCAAAUUGGAGAAGGAAGCUUUGAGAUUUCCAGGGAAGAUGGAAGACAGAACAGCUUGAGCCAUUUGGGUGCGGUGUAGAACUGGAAAUUGUGUCAAGGUUGACUGAGCCCUGUUUCUGGUCUAAGAAAGUUAAAACUUGUAUUCAAAAUGGAUAUCAAGACAACAUAAAAUGAAAUGACUGAUUUUGAAGAUUGAGAAUUAGGAAUAUUGUACAGAUGCUGUCAUUCCUACAUGAAGGAGGCAGAAGAAUGUAGCAAGCUCAGCUCUCUAAUGCCAGGAGUGGCACUUUCAGUGACCAGAGCUCCCUGGGUCCUCUGUGUAUCCCUCCCCUGUCAACUGAUUCAACAGAGGCUGGGCUGGUCCUGGCAUUAGCACAUUUUUGAAUCUGCCUUUGGCUGUGACUUCACCCAAAGACAGAAAGGGGAAGUUUCUGGUCUACAUAGCCAACAUGUGGUCUUGAUAAUAAAUCAUUGCUUGUU
RNAcentral lists this long non-coding RNA (976 nucleotides) under Homo sapiens (human). Its description in RNAcentral is "HSALNT0353212". Lineage: Eukaryota; Metazoa; Chordata; Mammalia; Primates; Hominidae. The record is from RNAcentral.